ACUGGUGAGUAACACGUAUGCGACCUGCCCCGGACAGGGGGAUAAACCCGGGAAACUGGGCCUAAUACCCCAUACGCCUUAUGAUCGCAUGGUCAUUAGGUGAAAGAUCCGUCGGUCCGGGAUGGGCAUGCGGCGCAUUAGCUUGUUGGCGGGGCAACGGCCCACCAAGGCGACGAUGCGUAGGGGUUCUGAGAGGAAGGUCCCCCACACUGGUACUGAGACACGGACCAGACUCCUACGGGAGGCAGCAGUGAGGAAUAUUGGUCAAUGGACGCGAGUCUGAACCAGCCAAGUCGCGUGCGGGAAGAAGGCCCUCCGGGUCGUAAACCGCUUUAGCCGGGGAGUAACGUGGGGGACGCGUCCCUCAGUGAGAGUACCCGGAGAAUAAGCAUCGGCUAACUCCGUGCCAGCAGCCGCGGUAAUACGGAGGAUGCGAGCGUUAUCCGGAUUUAUUGGGUUUAAAGGGUGCGCAGGCGGCAUGUCAAGUCAGCGGUCAAAAUGCGGCGCUCAACGCCGUACCGCCGUUGAAACUGGCGCGCUGGAGUUUGUGCGAGGAUGGCGGAAUGCGCGGUGUAGCGGUGAAAUGCAUAGAUAUCGCGCAGAACCCCGAUUGCGAAGGCAGCUGUCCAGCACACUACUGACGCUCAUGCACGAAAGCGUGGGUAUCGAACAGGAUUAGAUACCCUGGUAGUCCACGCGGUAAACGAUGAUAACUAGUUAUCCGGCCCGAUUGGGGGUUGGGUGACCGAGCGAAAGCGUUAAGUUAUCCACCUGGGGAGUACGCCGGCAACGGUGAAACUCAAAGGAAUUGACGG
RNAcentral lists this ribosomal RNA (815 nucleotides) under uncultured bacterium. Its description in RNAcentral is "bacterial SSU rRNA". It matches the Rfam family "Bacterial small subunit ribosomal RNA", at positions 102 to 916 of the family's 1533-position model. The record is from RNAcentral.